Molecule: ribosomal RNA, 676 nt
Filed under: uncultured crenarchaeote
Lineage: Archaea; Thermoproteati; Thermoproteota
Description: bacterial SSU rRNA
Rfam family: Archaeal small subunit ribosomal RNA
Source: RNAcentral
CCCUAUGGGGUGCAGCAGGCGCGAAACCUCCACAAUACACGAAAGUGUGAUGGGGUUAUCCCGAGUGCCGUCCGAUGAGGGUGGCUUUUACUCGGUGUAAGGAUCCGAGGGAAUAAAGGGGGGGCAAGACUGGUGUCAGCCGCCGCGGUAAUACCAGCCCCCUGAGUGGUAGGGGCGAUUAUUUGGCCUAAAGCGUUCGUAGCCGGCUUAACAAGUCUUUCGUUAAAUUCAACGACUUAAUCGUUGAGCUGCGUAAGAUACUAUUAGGCUAGAGGACGGGAGAGGUCGACGGUAUUCCUGGGGUAGGGGUGAAAUCCUAUAAUCCUAGGAGGACCACCAGUGGCGAAGGCGGUCGACUAGAACGUGCCUGACGGUGAUGGACGAAAGCUAGGGGAGCGAACCGGAUUAGAUACCCGGGUAGUCCUAGAUGUAAACGAUGCGGGCUAGGUGUUGGGGUAGCCAAGAGCUACUUCAGUGCCGCAGAGAAGUCGUUAAGCCCGCCGCCUGGGAAGUACGAUCGCAAGAUUGAAACUUAAAGGAAUUGGCGGGGGAGCACCACAAGGGGUGAAGCCUGCGGUUCAAUUGGAGUCAACGCCGGGAAACUUACCGGGGCUGACAGCAGGGUGAAGGUCAGACUAAAGAUCUUACCAGACAAGCUGAGAGGUGGUGCAUGGCC